AAUUGUGUGAGGCAAAUUAUUGGAAAUGACUAUUAGUUUUGGAGAAUUCUAAAGAUUGGAUAGAGAAUAUUUUAUAUAGCCUUUUAAGAUAGUACAGUAUUACCUAUUGUUGUCAUAAGUUAGGAGAGGAGAAGAGAUAGUGAAUGUUUAAUAUAGAAUUAGAAAUUUUAAUAUUUUAUUUGAUAGAAUGUAGGAGGCAUUGUAGCUUUCUUGGUUGUUUUAGUUGAUUAGGAGAUAAGUAAAUGUAUGAUCCUAAUGUAAAAAUUCAUACAGAUAGUCUUUUUCUAUAUUCAAAUCUUUCUAUAUAGAUUUAUUCUGAUUAGAUUAGUCUA
RNAcentral lists this long non-coding RNA (332 nucleotides) under Physcomitrium patens. RNAcentral describes it as "long non-coding RNA (PPAT_LNC002730)". The record is from RNAcentral. Lineage: Eukaryota; Viridiplantae; Streptophyta; Bryopsida; Funariales; Funariaceae.